This 380-nucleotide ribosomal RNA is filed under the name uncultured cyanobacterium. Its description in RNAcentral is "bacterial SSU rRNA". It matches the Rfam family "Bacterial small subunit ribosomal RNA", at positions 376 to 770 of the family's 1533-position model. The record is from RNAcentral. Lineage: Bacteria; Bacillati; Cyanobacteriota.
CGAAAGCCUGACGGAGCAAUACCGCGUGAGGGAGGAAGGCUCUUGGGUCGUAAACCUCUUUUCUCAGGGAAGAACACAAUGACGGUACCUGAGGAAUAAGCAUCGGCUAACUCCGUGCCAGCAGCCGCGGUAAUACGGAGGAUGCAAGCGUUAUCCGGAAUGAUUGGGCGUAAAGCGUCCGCAGGUGGCUGUGUAAGUCUGCUGUUAAAGAGUCUAGCUCAACUAGAUAAGAGCAGUGGAAACUACACAGCUAGAGUACGUUCGGGGCAGAGGGAAUUCCUGGUGUAGCGGUGAAAUGCGUAGAGAUCAGGAAGAACACCGGUGGCGAAGGCGCUCUGCUAGGCCGUAACUGACACUGAGGGACGAAAGCUAGGGAAGCG